Molecule: ribosomal RNA, 648 nt
Filed under: Salmonella enterica
Lineage: Bacteria; Pseudomonadati; Pseudomonadota; Gammaproteobacteria; Enterobacterales; Enterobacteriaceae
Description: partial 23S ribosomal RNA
Rfam family: Bacterial large subunit ribosomal RNA
Source: RNAcentral
UCUCCCCGAAAGCUAUUUAGGUAGCGCCUCGUGAACUCAUCUCCGGGGGUAGAGCACUGUUUCGGCUAGGGGGCCAUCCCGGCUUACCAACCCGAUGCAAACUGCGAAUACCGGAGAAUGUUAUCACGGGAGACACACGGCGGGUGCUAACGUCCGUCGUGAAGAGGGAAACAACCCAGACCGCCAGCUAAGGUCCCAAAGUCAUGGUUAAGUGGGAAACGAUGUGGGAAGGCCCAGACAGCCAGGAUGUUGGCUUAGAAGCAGCCAUCAUUUAAAGAAAGCGUAAUAGCUCACUGGUCGAGUCGGCCUGCGCGGAAGAUGUAACGGGGCUAAACCAUGCACCGAAGCUGCGGCAGCGACGCUGAUGCGUUGUUGGGUAGGGGAGCGUUCUGUAAGCCUGCGAAGGUGGCCUGUGAGGGUUGCUGGAGGUAUCAGAAGUGCGAAUGCUGACAUAAGUAACGAUAAAGCGGGUGAAAAGCCCGCUCGCCGGAAGACCAAGGGUUCCUGUCCAACGUUAAUCGGGGCAGGGUGAGUCGACCCCUAAGGCGAGGCCGAAAGGCGUAGUCGAUGGGAAACGGGUUAAUAUUCCCGUACUUGGUGUUACUGCGAAGGGGGGACGGAGAAGGCUAUGUUGGCCGGGCGACGGUU